AUACUUACCUGGCAGGGGAGAUACCAUGAUCACGAAGGUGAUUUUCCCAGGGCGAGGCUUAUCCAUUACACUCCAGAUGUGCUCACCCCUGUGAUUUCCCCAAAUGUGGGAAACUUGACUGCAUAAUUUGUGGUAGUGGGGGACAGCGUUCGUGCUUUCCCCCG
This is a small nuclear RNA of Aotus nancymaae (Ma's night monkey), 164 nucleotides long. Its record names the gene U1. It matches the Rfam family "U1 spliceosomal RNA". Rfam says of the family: U1 is a small nuclear RNA (snRNA) component of the spliceosome (involved in pre-mRNA splicing). The record is from Ensembl. NCBI's taxonomy places the organism in Eukaryota, Metazoa, Chordata, Mammalia, Primates, Aotidae.